AUUGAACGCUGGCGGCAGGCCUAACACAUGCAAGUCGAGCGAGCGGCGGACGGGUGAGUAAUGUAUGGGGCUCUGCCCUAUCGAGGGGGAUAACUACUGGAAACGGUGGCUAAUACCGCAUACUAUACUCUGAACCCUUGUGGGCGUGGCCAGUAGGUGGGGUAACGGCUCACCUAGGCCACGAUCCCUAGCUGGUCUGAGAGGAUGAUCGGCCACACGGGGACUGAGACACGGCCCAGACUCCGACGUGAGGCAGCAGUGGGGAAUAUUGCGCAAUGGGCGCAAGCCUGAUGCAGCCAUGCCGCGUGUAUGAAGAAGGCCUUCGGGUUGUAAAGUACUUUCAGUCGGGAGGCGGUACCGACAGAAGAAGCAACGGCUAACUCCGUGCCAGCCGCCGCGGUAAUAC
This 406-nucleotide ribosomal RNA is filed under the name uncultured bacterium. Its description in RNAcentral is "partial 16S ribosomal RNA". It matches the Rfam family "Bacterial small subunit ribosomal RNA", at positions 30 to 526 of the family's 1533-position model. The record is from RNAcentral.